Molecule: ribosomal RNA, 550 nt
Filed under: uncultured bacterium
Lineage: Bacteria
Description: partial 16S ribosomal RNA
Rfam family: Bacterial small subunit ribosomal RNA
Source: RNAcentral
UAGGGAAUCUUCCACAAUGGACGCAAGUCUGAUGGAGCAACGCCGCGUGAGUGAAGAAGGUUUUCGGACCGUAAAGCUCUGUUGUUGGUGAAGAAGGAUAGAGGUAGUAACUGGCCUUUAUUUGACGGUAAUCAACCAGAAAGUCACGGCUAACUACGUGCCAGCAGCCGCGGUAAUACGUAGGUGGCAAGCGUUGUCCGGAUUUAUUGGGCGUAAAGCGAGCGCAGGCGGAAGAAUAAGUCUGAUGUGAAAGCCCUCGGCUUAACCGAGGAAUUGCAUCGGAAACUGUUUUCUGAGUGCAGAAGAGAGAGUAGAACUCCAUGUGUAGCGGUGGAAUGCGUAGAUAUAUGGAAGAAUACCAGUGGCGAAGGCGGCUCUCUGGUCUGCAACUGACGCUGAGGCUCGAAAGCAUGGGUAGCGAACAGGAUUAGAUACCCUGGUAGUCCAUGCCGUAAACGAUGAGUGCUAAGUGUUGGGAGGCUUCCGCCUCUCAGUGCUGCAGCUAACGCAUUAAGCACUCCGCCUGGGGGAGUACGACCGCAAGGUUGAA